Molecule: ribosomal RNA, 424 nt
Filed under: uncultured Lactobacillus sp.
Lineage: Bacteria; Bacillati; Bacillota; Bacilli; Lactobacillales; Lactobacillaceae
Description: bacterial SSU rRNA
Rfam family: Bacterial small subunit ribosomal RNA
Source: RNAcentral
CCUACGGGUGGCAGCAGUGAGGAAUAUUGGUCAAUGGACGUAAGUCUGAACCAGCCAAGUCGCGUGAGGGAAGACUGCCCUAUGGGUUGUAAACCUCUUUUAUAAGGGAAGAAUAAGUUCUACGUGUAGAAUGAUGCCUGUACCUUAUGAAUAAGCAUCGGCUAACUCCGUGCCAGCAGCCGCGGUAAUACGGAGGAUGCGAGCGUUAUCCGGAUUUAUUGGGUUUAAAGGGAGCGUAGAUGGAUGUUUAAGUCAGUUGUGAAAGUUUGCGGCUCAACCGUAAAAUUGCAGUUGAAACUGGCAGUCUUGAGUACAGUAGAGGUGGGCGGAAUUCGUGGUGUAGCGGUGAAAUGCUUAGAUAUCACGAAGAACUCCGAUUGCGAAGGCAGCUCACUAGACUGUCACUGACACUGAUGCUCGAAAG